Molecule: long non-coding RNA, 745 nt
Organism: Amphimedon queenslandica
Lineage: Eukaryota; Metazoa; Porifera; Demospongiae; Haplosclerida; Niphatidae
Exons: 3
Source: RefSeq, a predicted model, not a curated record
UAUUGAUGCCUUUAUGCUGUGUAAAAAGUUUGAGUCAAUUUGGACUGCAAUUUUUCAAGGUACCUUACAAGAUGAUUUAUUGGCGAAGAAUUGAUAUUGGCAAUUGGCGAUUCUAUGAAGAAAUCACCAAUAUAAAAUCGACCAUUUUGUUUUAAUCUGAGCAUGCUCAGUCACCAGUACGUCAAGAAGAUCCACCAGUACAUCAAGGAGGAGAUCCACUAUUGCAUCAAGGACGACAAGGAGAUCUACCAGUCCCAGCAGAUCCACCCGUUCAAGUCCCACAACAAGUCCAAGAAGACCCAUUGAACAGACUAGAGUUAAGUAUACCAAGUAUUCCUACAAAUUUGCAUCUUGUCUUGACUGAGCCAGUUCCUCCUUUAUCUUCACCAGUUAGUGCCAAUCCUCCAACACUGAGUAAUAUUUUUGAGAACUUUGGUUUCAAUAUUAAUUCACAAACCAAUGACCCCAGCAUUUUAAUACAAAAUAACUCGGUUACUUAUUCCUCUACUGGUGAUGGAUCUGACUGUCCUCUUAUGAAACAUGAUCAUGCUCCUGUGGCAUCCUCAUACCGAUUUACACCUUCACAGAGCACAGAAGAGGAAAAGUUUAAGAAACUUGAAGAAGUUAAAGCUGGUAGUGAGCCUUUUAUAUUUGUAUAUAGCCGGAGAAGUAACAAAUAAAGUAUAAAAUGUAUUCAAUGGCUUCAUCAUCUAUAUAGAUUUAUAAAAUAUUUCAAAUUGUGCAU